Molecule: long non-coding RNA, 523 nt
Filed under: Pectinophora gossypiella (pink bollworm)
Lineage: Eukaryota; Metazoa; Arthropoda; Insecta; Lepidoptera; Gelechiidae
Description: uncharacterized LOC126379893
Source: RNAcentral
CUGUAUGUCGAUUCUGUAGAUCUCGAACAAUAACUCGCUUAUCACUUCGACGCUCACUUACACUUCGCAUUCGAUCUCACCUGACCUUGAUUUGGUAUUCUGUAAACAUCACUAGCUCACUUGCGAAGUGAAGUGAGCUUCGAUAUAUCUUUCGAGUUACUAGUGAUUGGCGCUUAAUGAGAAGAUACCAAUCGUGGUUUGGUGCAUAGAUUGUGGUGUUUUGGCUGCGUGUGGACAUAUUUUGAAACGGGAUAAUGAAAAGCAAUGAUUGACUUCCUGGAGAGAAACCCAGAUCUGGCAAAGGGUUUUUCAAAAACUCAAUAUGCCAGAGAGUGGAGCACUAGGAAGUUUUGUCAUAGCGGCUCAAUAAUAUGGGUGGGACGAUUAAAACAUACAAGCAGUGGACCAAACAAUCAGACCCAAUACAAUUGGUUCCCCAGCCUCCCUCUUUAAUACAAAGCAGUGGACAUUCAGAAAUUUCAGUGAGUUGAAGAGCAGCAGUUAGAAAUUCGGCGGCCCAAUG